GGAGCUGAAGCCAUUCAUAGGGUGACACGUCCCAGGCGGGGCUGCCAGCCUUUAUUAGGGGACGGGAUUCUUGGCUCGGGGUCUCCGCUCUGGCGAGAAUAUAGCGCGGGACAUCUGGUGCCGAAACCCGGGAACUUGUUAACAUCGCCGGCACUGCGGAGACCCCUCUAACGGGGCGGAUUCAGAACUGCAGGGUGGUAAAUUCGGAGAGGAUGAAGAGAAUCCCCUGUGGAUCCCGGAAAGACUCACACAAAGAGCCCCUUCGGACCUUCAAAAGUCGGAACUCCACCCUCUCCCCGGGAGUUAAGAGCCGCUAUUAUCCAGAUUAACUCCUGUCCUUGACGGAGAGAUUGUCAUCAUAGAUAGCUUCAGCUGUCUCCUAUUUUAAGGAAAUGGGUGGAGGUGGGAUUGUUUGGUGCAGCCGUUUGCUGCGGAUUGAUGUUGCUUCUCUGGCUGGUCUGUAAGCUCAGGGCUCAAACUAAGAGAGACAAGGUGGUUAUCGCCCAAGUGCUUGUAGCUUUGGAACAAGGGGCUUCCACUGAUAUUUGGCUAACUAUGCUUAAGCAAUAGGCCGCCGGCCAGACAGCUCUUGCACACCCGGAGCCUAGGCUCAUUGCACAGGGUAGAGUGCCUGGUUUGAGCAGCCCAUGAGGGAUGUUGAGCAAGGCAUCGCACAGAGAGUUGCCCAGUAUACAGGCUUCUCUGGGAGGCAUGUUGUCCUGCAUAAGGGUUGCCUGCCCUAGUCUCCCUUUCCCAGAAAAACGGCAGAGGACAGGUCGAGAGCGCUUCGGGUCAAGCUAACAGCCUGAUGGCGACUCUUGUACACAGUCUUAAUGUUUGAUUGGGAAGGUACAACCUCUGCCUCUAUCCCUCAACAUAUGGGUGACCUAUUUGCUUGUAAAAAUAUAAAGCCUUAUCAUUAAUUAAUAAAAAAAGGGGGAUCUGUAGGGAGCCGUCCCUGCAUUCUCCAUUACAAUGAUGGUGCCUGCAGGCACUGAAUGUAAAUUAUUUCACAGGCGCUGGGUAAUUUUCCAUUUCCUUGAUCUCUGCCUAUCCCGUGGCUCAUAUGGCCUGAGGAGCUGAAGCCAUUCAUAGGGUGACACGUCCCAGGCGGGGCUGCCAGCCUUUAUUAGGGGACGGGAUUCUUGGCUCGGGGUCUCCGCUCUGGUAAGCUUAUGCUCUCCUCUCUCAAGAUGCAUUAAAGCUUUCCUGCAGAAGGAUCCGAAUGUCCUGUGUGAUUCUUGCAGGCGAGAAUAUAGCGCGGGACAAUCAUACAGGGAUUGUGGUGUUAAGACUACCCUCCUGGGCUGGAGAGAUGGCUCAGAGGUUAACAACACUGGCUCUUCUUCCAGAGGACCCAGGUUCAACUCCCAGCACCCACAUGGCAGCUCACAGUUGUCUAUAAUUCCAGUUCCAGAGGAUCUGACACCCUCACACAGACAUACAUGAAGGUAAAACAUCAAAG
This 1465-nucleotide long non-coding RNA is filed under the name Cricetulus griseus (Chinese hamster). RNAcentral describes it as "lncRNA (ENSCGRG00015039037.1)". The record is from RNAcentral. Lineage: Eukaryota; Metazoa; Chordata; Mammalia; Rodentia; Cricetidae.